Molecule: small nucleolar RNA, 217 nt
Filed under: Theobroma cacao (cacao)
Lineage: Eukaryota; Viridiplantae; Streptophyta; Magnoliopsida; Malvales; Malvaceae
Description: snoRNA Plant_U3
Rfam family: Plant small nucleolar RNA U3
About the family: Small nucleolar RNAs (snoRNAs) are involved in the processing and modification of rRNA in the nucleolus. There are two main classes of snoRNAs: the box C/D class, and the box H/ACA class. U3 snoRNA is a member of the box C/D class.
Source: Rfam by way of RNAcentral
ACGACCUUAUUUGAACAGGAUCUGUUCUAUAGGUUCGUACUUCUGUAUCCUUAAGUUCUAAGGAGACAGGAUUUCAAGUCUGGUUGAAGAAUUAAGACUGUGAGAUCAGAGCGUAAUUAGUGGUCUGGUGAUCCUGUUCGGAUAACCGUGACCGUGAAGGAUCGUUCCCUUCCAGUCUUCGCCUGGAUGGGAUGGUCACACAGUUGUCUGACAGGCU